GACGAACGCUGGCGGCGUGCUUAACACAUGCAAGUCGAACGGAAAGGCCCUGCUUUUGUGGGGUGCUCGAGUGGCGAACGGGUGAGUAACACGUGAGUAACCUGCCCUUGACUUUGGGAUAACUUCAGGAAACUGGGGCUAAUACCGGAUAGGAGCUCCUGCUGCAUGGUGGGGGUUGGAAAGUUUCGGCGGUUGGGGAUGGACUCGCGGCUUAUCAGCUUGUUGGUGGGGUAGUGGCUUACCAAGGCUUUGACGGGUAGCCGGCCUGAGAGGGUGACCGGCCACAAUGGGACUGAGAGACGGCCCAGAGUCCUACGGGAGGCAGCAGUGGGGAAUAUUGCACAAUGGGCGGAAGCCUGAUGCAGCAACGCCGCGUGCGGGAUGACGGCCUUCGGGUUGUAAACCGCUUUCGCCUGUGACGAAGCGUGAGUGACGGUAAUGGGUAAAGAAGCACCGGCUAACUACGUG
Molecule: ribosomal RNA, 468 nt
Filed under: uncultured bacterium
Lineage: Bacteria
Description: partial 16S ribosomal RNA
Rfam family: Bacterial small subunit ribosomal RNA
Source: RNAcentral